CCUACGGGAGGCAGCAGUGGGGAAUUUUGGACAAUGGGCGGAAGCCUGAUCCAGCCAUGCCGCGUGCGGGAAGAAGGCCUUCGGGUUGUAAACCGCUUUUGUCAGGGAAGAAACGCCCUGGGCUAAUACCCCGGGGUAAUGACGGUACCUGAAGAAUAAGCACCGGCUAACUACGUGCCAGCAGCCGCGGUAAUACGUAGGGUGCAAGCGUUAAUCGGAAUUACUGGGCGUAAAGCGUGCGCAGGCGGCUAUGCAAGACAGAUGUGAAAUCCCCGGGCUCAACCUGGGAACUGCAUUUGUGACUGCAUAGCUAGAGUACGGUAGAGGGGGAUGGAAUUCCGCGUGUAGCAGUGAAAUGCGUAGAUAUGCGGAGGAACACCGAUGGCGAAGGCAAUCCCCUGGACCUGUACUGACGCUCAUGCACGAAAGCGUGGGGAGCAAACAGGAUUAGAUACCCUGGUAGUCCACGCCCUAAACGAUGUCAACUGGUUGUUGGGAGGGUUUCUUCUCAGUAACGUAGNUACGCGUGAGUAGACCGCCGUCGGGAGGUACGGCCGCGAGGUUAGUAACGUACGAAGGAAAGUUAGACGGCGUGAGACGUGCCGACGGACGACGACGACGGGAGGUUAGG
RNAcentral lists this ribosomal RNA (631 nucleotides) under uncultured bacterium. RNAcentral describes it as "bacterial SSU rRNA". The stretch from base 1 to 540 matches the Rfam family "Bacterial small subunit ribosomal RNA", at positions 338 to 873 of the family's 1533-position model. The record is from RNAcentral.